CCUACGGGUGACAGCAGUGAGGAAUAUUGGUCAAUGGACGAGAGUCUGAACCAGCCAAGUAGCGUGAAGGAUGACUGCCCUAUGGGUUGUAAACUUCUUUUAUAUGGGAAUAAAACGUUCCACGUGUGGGAUUUUGUAUGUACCAUAUGAAUAAGGAUCGGCUAACUCCGUGCCAGCAGCCGCGGUACUACGGAGGAUCCGAGCGUUAUCCGGAUUUAUUGGGUUUAAAGGGAGCGUAGGUGGAUUGUUAAGUCAGUUGUGAAAGUUUGCGGCUCAACCGUAAAAUUGCAGUUGAAACUGGCAGUCUUGAGUACAGUAGAGGUGGGCGGAAUUCGUGGUGUAGCGGUGAAAUGCUUAGAUAUCACGAAGAACUCCGAUUGCGAAGGCAGUUCACUGGACUGCAACUGACACUGAGGCUCGAAAGUGUGGGUAUCAAACAGGAUUAGAUACCCUUGUAGUC
Molecule: ribosomal RNA, 460 nt
Filed under: uncultured bacterium
Lineage: Bacteria
Description: partial 16S ribosomal RNA
Rfam family: Bacterial small subunit ribosomal RNA
Source: RNAcentral